Herbaspirillum sp. is the source of this 151-nucleotide non-coding RNA. Lineage: Bacteria; Pseudomonadati; Pseudomonadota; Betaproteobacteria; Burkholderiales; Oxalobacteraceae. The record is from Rfam.
CCAAAUGUACGACCAUUCGUAGCCUACCCAAGCAUGCGUCGCUGGUAACAGCGGGGUGUGAAGCCUUGGGGACAAUGUACUCACGCGAAAGCGUUAUCGAUUUCAUGUGAAUGAUUCGAUAGACACUGCCAGCAGCAAGGUGGUCGAGAGG